UACGGAGGGGGCUAGCGUUGUUCGGAAUUACUGGGCGUAAAGCGUACGUAGGCGGAUUGUUAAGUUAGAGGUAAAAUCCCGGGGCUCAACCCCGGAACUGCCUUUAAAACUGGCAAUCUAGAGUUAUGGAGAGGUAAGUGGAAUUCCUAGUGUAGAGGUGAAAUUCGUAGAUAUUAGGAGGAACACCAGAGGCGAAGGCGGCUUACUGGACAUAUACUGACGCUGAGGUACGAAAGUGUGGGGAGCGAACGGGAUUAGAAACCCUUGUAGUCC
Molecule: ribosomal RNA, 273 nt
Filed under: uncultured bacterium
Lineage: Bacteria
Description: partial 16S ribosomal RNA
Rfam family: Bacterial small subunit ribosomal RNA
Source: RNAcentral